Molecule: long non-coding RNA, 1510 nt
Organism: Lolium rigidum
Lineage: Eukaryota; Viridiplantae; Streptophyta; Magnoliopsida; Poales; Poaceae
Exons: 3
Source: RefSeq, a predicted model, not a curated record
AAGGAAAGGGAUAUACCAUAAGCACAAAGAUUUGCUCCCAGAAAGGUAUCAGUUUUUGGAAGGAGACAUCCACAGUUGACAUGUACUUAAACCCUUGAAAGGCAUGCUUAAGAUUUUCAUUGCAAUGAGUCAUUUCUGCUGGUACAAGAAAUGCAGGCUGCUGCGAGUACAAAGAUGAUCAGAGGUACAACUGAUUACAUUUGUUACAAAAAUGGCUUCUGGUGACUGGUGGUGAUUGUUGAAGAGUCUUCUUGCUACUGCUGAUCGCUUCCCUGGACUGUCUGAGCUCAUACUUGGCCGCAGUCAGCUCGUUCUUCAGGUUCUUGAUUUUCAGCGUAUCCCUGACCUUCUCGAGAUCCCUGAUCUUCUCUUCAAUCAGAUGCACAUCCUCAUGGUCAGACCAAACUCCUGAUGGUGCUAGAGCACAGGACAGGUUAUCUGGUAAUGGUGGAGCUGAAGGUGCAGUGUGCCCCAUUCUUGAACUGCUUCCCAAAACCAAUAUAAUUUUCUGCAAGUAGAUAGUUGUUCAAUUAGAGGUGUGGAAAUAUCCUGUCAUGGUAUUUUCCCAAUACCUUGUCAUCAUGUCCUGUCUGAUACAGUUUGAUAUUUGUUCUAUUUGUGUACCAAGCACACAGUACACAUGAUCACUGUGACUGGAAAUAGGAACCCAGACACUCCCUGAACAGUUUAAAACUGCCAGCCAUUCAAGUUUGCUGUUUGGACCUGCAGAUUUUUUUUUUUACAUGGUUUUUGUCCCAAUACAUUUUCAUCAUCCUCUGUUUCAUACAGUUUGAUCUUUGUUCUAUCCUUCUAGCAAGCAGACAAUACACAUUGAUCACUGUGGAAACAGGGAACCAGUCACUCCUGAACUGUUAAAAAACUGUCAGCCAUUCAAGUUCAGUUUUUGACAUGUAGAUUUAUCAGUUCUUACAUGUUUUUCAGACAAUAUCUUCUAAGACUAUUACUUCAUGCACGUUGAUCUGUGUACGAACAAUCUGCUAAUAGAGGAGGGAUACGUACCUGUUUAUGAUUUUCAACUGGUGGAUCAGGGCAGAAAAUCUUGACAUCUUUCCUUGUCUUCCUCUUCAGCCACUGGGAAACCUCUGUGGGGUUCACCUGCCCUGCCACAGCCACAACCCCAGUGUCGACAUCUCCCACCGAUGUCUCGACUCCUGUUGAACCGAAAUUCAGGUAAAAUGACCAAGAACACAGCCGAUCAAAAUAUUCUCAGAAUGAACAAAGAGGGGUCUGGGAGGCCGUGCAUACCCCUGAAGCUCCCGAUGGAGGCCAUGGCCUUCUCGACCUUGCCGACGCAUCCCAUGCACCGGCACUGCAUGUCGACCUGGAGGCUGAACCGCCUGUUCUCGGCUCUCUCCUGCGAAGAUCCACAGCUAUCUGGUCAGGUAUGAUGGGAGCAGCAGAACCCAUGUAUAGAUCAGAGAAGAUAAAGGUGAGAGAUUCGUCACCAUUGCCAUGUCUGGGUUCAGACUUGAGAGGUUGCAGGCUUCGA